Molecule: ribosomal RNA, 116 nt
Filed under: uncultured eukaryote
Lineage: Eukaryota
Description: partial small subunit ribosomal RNA
Rfam family: Bacterial small subunit ribosomal RNA
Source: RNAcentral
GUGGGUUCUACCAGAAGUAGCUAGGCUAACCGCAAGGAGGCCGGUUACCACGGUAGGAUUCAUGACUGGGGUGAAGUCGUAACAAGGUAGCCGUAGGUGAACCUGCAGAAGGAUCA